AGCAAAUGAAUAUCUGUCCUGGAAUUACCUGAUUUCCAGGACAGAUAUUGAUUUGCUGA
Molecule: microRNA precursor, 59 nt
Filed under: Ornithorhynchus anatinus (platypus)
Lineage: Eukaryota; Metazoa; Chordata; Mammalia; Monotremata; Ornithorhynchidae
Description: microRNA oan-mir-7432 precursor
Source: miRBase by way of RNAcentral